This 94-nucleotide transfer RNA is filed under the name Smithella sp. SCADC. RNAcentral describes it as "Selenocysteine transfer RNA". It matches the Rfam family "Selenocysteine transfer RNA". The record is from Rfam by way of RNAcentral. Lineage: Bacteria; Pseudomonadati; Thermodesulfobacteriota; Syntrophia; Syntrophales; Smithellaceae.
GACCGGGCGAGUCGGCUGGCGCCGGCCGCAGGCUUCAAACCUGUCGGGCCAACAUUAAAAUGUUGUGCUGAUCAGUUCGAUUCUGAGCCCGGUC